UCUGUGAUGCCCUUAGAUGUUCUGGGCUGCACGCGCGUUACAAUGAAAUAAACAACAAGUAUGACCUAAUCUGAGAAGAUUUGGGAAAUCUUUCUAACCUAUUUCUUGAUUGGGAUAGUGUUUUGCAAUUAUCGCACUUGAACGAGGAACGCCUUGUAUUGACAUGUCAUUAACAUGUCGAGAAUACGUCCCUGCCCUUUGUACACACCGC
Molecule: ribosomal RNA, 211 nt
Filed under: uncultured eukaryote
Lineage: Eukaryota
Description: partial 16S ribosomal RNA
Rfam family: Eukaryotic small subunit ribosomal RNA
Source: RNAcentral